UUAGCGACUAAGCGUACACGGUGGAUGCCCUGGCAGUCAGAGGCGAUGAAGGACGUGCUAAUCUGCGAAAAGCGCCGGCGAGGUGAUAUGAACCCUUGACCCGGCGAUGUCCGAAUGGGGAAACCCAGUGUGAUUCGUCACACUAUCGUUAACUGAAUACAUAGGUUAACGAGGCGAACCGGGGGAACUGAAACAUCUAAGUACCCCGAGGAAAAGAAAUCAACCGAGAUUCCCCCAGUAGCGGCGAGCGAACGGGGAGCAGCCCGGAGUCUGAAUCAGCUUGUGUGUUAGUGGAACGGUCUGGAAAGUCCGACGGUACAGGGUGAUAGUCCCGUACACGAAAGCACACAGGUUGUGAACUCGAAGAKWAGGGCGGGACACGUGGUAUCCUGUCUGAAUAUGGGGGGACCAUCCUCCAAGGCUAAAUACUCCUGACUGACCGAUAGUGAACCAGUACCGUGAGGGAAAGGCGAAAAGAACCCCGGCGAGGGGAGUGAAAAAGAACCUGAAACCGUGUACGUACAAGCAGUGGGAGCCUCUUUAUGGGGUGACUGCGUACCUUUUGUAUAAUGGGUCAGCGACUUAUAUUCUGUAGCAAGGUUAACCGUAUAGGGGAGCCGAAGGGAAACCGAGUCUUAACUGGGCGUUAAGUUGCAGGGUAUAGACCCGAAACCCGGUGAUCUAGCCAUGGGCAGGUUGAAGGUUGGGUAACACUAACUGGAGGACCGAACCGACUAAUGUUGAAAAAUUAGCGGAUGACCUGUGGCUGGGGGUGAAAGGCCAAUCAAACCGGGAGAUAGCUGGUUCUCCCCGAAAGCUAUUUAGGUAGCGCCUCGUGAACUCAUCUUCGGGGGUAGAGCACUGUUUCGGCUAGGGGGCCAUCCCGGCUUACCAACCCGAUGCAAACUGCGAA
RNAcentral lists this ribosomal RNA (913 nucleotides) under Pantoea sp. RNAcentral's name for it is "partial 23S ribosomal RNA". It matches the Rfam family "Bacterial large subunit ribosomal RNA", at positions 1 to 961 of the family's 2925-position model. Lineage: Bacteria; Pseudomonadati; Pseudomonadota; Gammaproteobacteria; Enterobacterales; Erwiniaceae. The record is from RNAcentral. RNAcentral also lists the same sequence under 1 other name.